CCUUGCAGACAAUUUCAUUAUCCUUUAACAGGGAGUGAAGUAUAACACCAAUACAGGCAGCAGGGGCAGAGUAUAGCACCUGAUGUCUGCUAAAAUCCAUAUGCAAAGACAAAUCAUUAAGUAAUCCCAGCUUCCUCUCCAUUAGACAGCAGGGAUUGCACUUCCAGCCCCCUCUCUUCCUCCCCCGUGCCCGUACCAGUAAGGAG
Molecule: non-coding RNA, 206 nt
Organism: Pelobates cultripes (western spadefoot toad)
Lineage: Eukaryota; Metazoa; Chordata; Amphibia; Anura; Pelobatidae
Source: the annotation of a GenBank genome assembly